Molecule: unclassified non-coding RNA, 352 nt
Filed under: soil metagenome
Description: partial contains 5.8S ribosomal RNA, internal transcribed spacer 2, and large subunit ribosomal RNA
Rfam family: 5.8S ribosomal RNA (bases 1-120)
Source: RNAcentral
GAUGAAGAACGUAGCGAAAUGCGAUAAGUAAUGUGAAUUGCAGAAUUCAGUGAAUCAUCGAAUCUUUGAACGCACAUUGCGCCCGCCAGUAUUCUGGCGGGCAUGCCUGUUCGAGCGUCAUUACAACCCUCAGGCCCCCGGGCCUGGCGUUGGGGAUCGGCGGAGCCCCCCGUGGGCACACGCCGUCCCCCAAAUGCAGUGGCGGUCCCGCCGCAGCUUCCAUCGCGUAGUAGCUAACACCUCGCGACUGGAGAGCGGCGCGGCCACGCCGUAAAACACCCAACUCUUCUGAAGUUGACCUCGAAUCAGGUAGGAAUAACCGCUGAACUUAAGCAUAUCAAUAAGCGGAGGA